GGUACCGCAGACUUAUCUGUGCGUGGAACGUGGUUUUUGAUUCGCUUGUUUAUAAAUUUCUGCUUAAUAAAAGUUUGUUUAUGAAUUCGAAUUUUUAACGCUGGAAAGUUUAUCGAAUGUUAUAAAGAUAGUAUGAUAAAUUUAACAUCUCUUGACAUAAGUAACGCUAUAAAUAACCUAGAGAUAAUUAGCAAUGCUUGUGUAAUGUCAGAAUUGUAAUGUUAAGUUGCUGUAAUCAUGUCGAAUCUCAACGAUAUCCAUACUGCAGGGCUAGUAUUAGCUAGAGGUGGAAGUAAAGGAAUUCCCAAGAAAAAUAUCCGAUUGUUGUCUGGUAUUCCUCUUCUAGUUUGGGUGUUACGUCCAAUGAUAGACUGCAAAAAGUUUCAGUCUAUAUGGGUUUCAACUGAUGAUGAUGAUAUUGCUCAAAUUGCAACUUCUUGGAAUGUUCAGAUCCAUUAUCGUUCCAAAAAGGUAGCAAAAGAUACUUCUUCUUCAUUGGAAAGUGUACAAGAAUUUUUGAGCUAUCAUCCAGAAAUUGGAAUAAUAGCAUUAAUUCAAUGCACUUCUCCAUGUCUUCAUCCAUCAUUUUUAACAAUUGCAUAUGAAAUGAUGAUUAAUUUUUCAUAUGAUUCAGUAUUUUCAGUCAUGAGACAACAUAAACUACAAUGGAAAGAAGUUGAAUUUGGCAAUAGUACAUAUCCUAUUAAUUUUGAUGCUAGUCAUAGACCAAGGAGACAAGAUUGGUGUGGUGAACUAGUGGAAAGUGGUCAUUUUUAUUUUUCUUCUGUGGACUUAAUCAAAAAAGAUGUGGUUAUGUAGAAAUUCCCAAAGAAAUGUGCAUAGAAAUUGAUUCAGAAUCAGACUGGAAAAUUUCAGAAUGUCAAGUCCAGUUAUAUGGUUAUAAAGGUGUAGGAAGUAAAUUAUAAAAUACAAGAAUGAUGUUAGAAUAGAUCAAAGGAAAUCAAUGGAUUCAUAAAGUAAAUCUUAGUACAGAAUAUGUUAUUUAUCUGAUAAAAGUUAAUGAUGUUAUAUUUAUUACAAUAAAAUAAAAUCAUAAAAAAAAAUCUGCUUUUAA
Molecule: unclassified non-coding RNA, 1075 nt
Filed under: Centruroides sculpturatus (bark scorpion)
Lineage: Eukaryota; Metazoa; Arthropoda; Arachnida; Scorpiones; Buthidae
Description: n-acylneuraminate cytidylyltransferase A-like, transcript variant X1
Source: RNAcentral